UCGACAUGUCUUCAGGCACUAUGGCCUUAGAGAGUUCAAGUGUGAUGUUUGUGGAAAGCUCUUUAAGACAAGGGAUUACAUUGCCAAGCACAUGAAGAUCCACUUCUGAAGUGUGUCUGCCUACAGUAGUUAUAGUGACCAAGAAGGACAAGCAGGACCCGGACGGUGACAUCAUUAUGAGGCUUGAGUACGGUCUCCUGAACUCCUCGUCCCUGGAGCUGAUUGGUUUUGUUCCCAGCUGUCCCUUGAAGGUCUCAGGCAGCAGCCAUCCCUCAUGAUGAUGCAGCUCCCCUCAGCCUACCGGGCGC
Long non-coding RNA from Eriocheir sinensis (Chinese mitten crab), 308 nucleotides. RefSeq lists it as uncharacterized. The transcript is spliced from 3 exons. The record is from RefSeq and is a predicted model, not a curated record. NCBI's taxonomy places the organism in Eukaryota, Metazoa, Arthropoda, Malacostraca, Decapoda, Varunidae.